GAGAGAUGGCCGAGUGGUCGAAGGCGCAGCAUUGGAAAUGCUGUGUAGGGGCAACUUUACCGAGGGUUCGAAUCCCUCUCUCUCC
This 85-nucleotide transfer RNA is filed under the name human gut metagenome. It matches the Rfam family "tRNA". Rfam says of the family: Transfer RNA (tRNA) molecules are approximately 80 nucleotides in length. Their secondary structure includes four short double-helical elements and three loops (D, anti-codon, and T loops). Further hydrogen bonds mediate the characteristic L-shaped molecular structure. tRNAs have two regions of fundamental functional importance: the anti-codon, which is responsible for specific mRNA codon recognition, and the 3' end, to which the tRNAs corresponding amino acid is attached (by aminoacyl-tRNA synthetases). tRNAs cope with the degeneracy of the genetic code in two manners: having more than one tRNA (with a specific anti-codon) for a particular amino acid; and 'wobble' base-pairing, i.e. permitting non-standard base-pairing at the 3rd anti-codon position. The record is from RNAcentral.